UCUUCCGCAAUGGACGAAAGUCUGACGGAGCAACGCCGCGUGAGUGACGAAAGUUUUCGGAUAGUAAAACUCUGUUUUUAGGGAAGAACAAGUACCGUUCGAAUAGGGCGGUACCUUGACGGUACCUAACCAGAAAGACACGGCUAACUAGGUGCCAGCAGCCGCGGUAAUACGUAGGUGGCAAGCGUUGUCCGGAAUUAUUGGGCGUAAGGCGCGCGCAGGCGGUUUCUUAAGUCUGAUGUGAAAGCCCCCGGCUCAACCGGGGAGGGUCAUUGGAAACUGGGGAACUUGAGUGCAGAAGAGGAGAGUGGAAUUCCACGUGUAGCGGUGAAAUGCGUAGAGAUGUGGAGGAACACCAGUGGCGAAGGCGACUCUCUGGUCUGUAACUGACGCUGAGGCGCGAAAGCGUGGGGAGCGAACAG
Molecule: ribosomal RNA, 422 nt
Filed under: uncultured bacterium
Lineage: Bacteria
Description: bacterial SSU rRNA
Rfam family: Bacterial small subunit ribosomal RNA
Source: RNAcentral